Molecule: long non-coding RNA, 1045 nt
Organism: Mus pahari (shrew mouse)
Lineage: Eukaryota; Metazoa; Chordata; Mammalia; Rodentia; Muridae
Exons: 3
Source: RefSeq, a predicted model, not a curated record
UGCAUUGAGACAGGUGAGGCUCAGAGGGGCCUCGGGGAAGACAUUCUUCUGCACUUAUGCCUGUAGGAACAAGACGCUGAUCCCGAUCCCGGAGAGCAAGCCUCCAGGUGAAAGGGUAGGAGCAAAAACAUUCCGAGAAAAGCAUGAAGACUUCCACACUCAUAACAGAAGUCUCAAGGUCCAGGGCUGGAGAGAUGACUCAGCUCCGCAGGACUCUUGAAGGAAGAUUGCUCGCUUGCGUUUCUUAAUUCUGGCAUUCUUAACUCAUGGUAAAAGUAAACUGUACAUUCCAAGUCAAAUACAUAUCAAAGGCAGAGAUCCACUCCAACAGGAAGGUCUCCCAGGUGCCGCCACCAUCCCAGCGUAAGAGCCAUGCUAACUCCUGCACUCAAGCGCUCCAUGGGCGUGCCUAACUUAGGAUCCCAUUAAGCCACGCACGCACGGCUUAAGAGGGCCUCAGAGGAGAAGGAAGAUCAUGCCAGACGCCUUUGUAUUCACUCAAGAGGAACUUCGGACCAAAGAGGAGUUUACUCUAUCUUAUUUUCUGCCUUUGGAAGAAUUGAUCAAUGUGCUGGUUGGUUUUGUUGACUUAACACAAACCUAGUUAUAUCAGAAAAGAGGAGAUUUUAAUUAAGGAAGUGUCGCCAUCAAACCAGCCUAUAGGCAAGUCUGUGUGGAAAUCUUUUUGAUUAUUUAUUGCUUUGGGAGGGUCCAAAGCAGUAGGGGCAGGCUGUCCACCCUGAAGGGUGGUCCUGGAUAAUAUACGUAUGCAGUCAGAGCAAGCCAAGAGCAAGCCAGUAAGCAGUAUGUCUCCAGGUUCACGCUUCAGGUUCCCACCCUGAGUUCUCUUCGUGAAGAACUGCAAACUGUAAUUGGAAAUAAGCUCUUUCCUCCCGAGCUGGCAGUGGUGGACUUAACUAAGGCAAUCAUAAAGUCUAAUGAUCCUUUCAAGUUCUGAUGCUCAAGGCCUGGUUUGGGAAUGCCAGGAAUCCCAGCAACUUGGGAGACAGAGGCAGGAAGAUCUCUGUGAGUUCAAGGCUAGCCU